This 1942-nucleotide unclassified non-coding RNA is filed under the name Camponotus floridanus (Florida carpenter ant). Its description in RNAcentral is "synaptic vesicle glycoprotein 2A, transcript variant X1". Lineage: Eukaryota; Metazoa; Arthropoda; Insecta; Hymenoptera; Formicidae. The record is from RNAcentral.
UUUUACAGUUCGACCGCACGCAUAGAGUCGUUUCCCGACACUGCUGGUAGCACUGAUAAAAAAAAAUCUGCAUAUCUGAUCACGCUCUCGCGAAGUGCAACCACUUUUCUGUCCAAAGCAAAUAACGUAGACACGGCGUAGUUGAUUUUAUUCUGAGACAAAUACCUGGUGGUGGAACAAGAUAGUUGCCUAAAUCGACCGACUUGGGCUUCUAUUUUCGUCUUAAGAAGCAGGACCGACUCAACCACGUCGAGCGCAGUCGUCUCUUCAGUUCGUCGCGUCGGAUAUGCUCGGAAGUGACCGUGAAAAUGACAAGAUCGCUACGAUAACCGAGAACGUUAACGAAUCGGCUGAUUUCAAUAAAGCCAUCUCGACAACCGGCUAUGGAGUAUUCAAUGUAUUACUGCUAUUGGCAACAGUACCAAUCGCUUGGACCGUCAUUUUCGAUACUACUUCCGGCGCAUUUAUCUUGGCAUCAGCUGAAUGCGACUUGGAGCUUACAUUCUUUCGGAAAGGGGUGCUUGUUGCAUUUCCUUACAUAGCUAUGACAACAACUGCUUUCAUAUGGGACUACAUAACACCCUAUAUAAGCAUGAAAAUACUGUUCAUGCUCGCAUUAUUAAUUGAUUCGAUUUUGAACAUCGUAAGCAGUGGCGUACAAUCUUAUUAUAUAUUUAUACUAGUCAAGUUUCUCAGUGGUAUUCUCGUAGGCGGCCCGUUAGCGAUGGUGAUGACGUACCUGACGGAAUUCCAUUCGGCGAGGUACCAGCCGCGCUUCACUACAUGGGCAGGAUUUCUCUUCGCUCUAGCGAACAUCGUGCCAGCAGCUCUAGGCAUAAUAAUACUGCCGUUAGAUUUGAACAUCAAUAUCUUCGGUCUAAACUACAAUUCCUGGCGUAUAUACCUGUUAAUCUGCUCAAUACCACCCGUCGUCGGCUUCGUGACGGCGACUAUGUUGCCGGAAAGCCCUAAAUAUCUCAUGGCAAUUGGCAGAUCGGAUACUGCCUUGAAAUUACUCAGGAGGAUGUACUAUAUGAACAUGAGACAACCUUUGGAAACGUUCCCGAUAAAAGCGCUGCUCGUUCGGCAAAAGACGCAAUUGACGCGUCCCGUGCUCGAGGCGAGUCUCGAGAGGAUGCGCGUUUCCUUGUACAACACGAAACUACUGGCGACGACGGCUUACCUGCCCGCCUUCUGCUUCGUAAGUUUCCUCCAAUUUGGAAGUAUGCUCGGAUUUAAUACGAUGAGAUUGUGGGUACCGCAUCUCUUUAUUAUUCUCAACAACUUCGAUUCGGCAAAUUGGACAUCGAAAGAUAGGCAACCUACCAUAUGCGAGAUGUUGGACCGACACGCGGCUCUACCCGGCAGACAGUACUUGAACUGCACGAACUUUGACGACGCGUGCUUCAAGUGGACUAUUAAUGGUGUGAUUUAUCAAAAUUCCACCGUUAUUGCGACGUCGGCCGUCGUAUUCUCAUUUCUCACCGGAUUCAUAACAAUCACCAAGCUUCGAAAACAGAUUGUAAUGCUCACGGCCUUCCUGAUAUCGGUGGCAAGCAGUUUCGGAAUAAAUUGGGCGCAGUCUCCGCCGUACAUGCUGACGCUGGCGUCGGCGGUUAUCGUGACGACAAGAAUAGCGGAGCCACAAGCACCAGCAUCCUCACCGUCAUUGGAAAUAUCGCUGCCAUUGUGGGAAAUUUGAUUUUCUCCGCGCUCCUGGGCACCAAGUGCAUUGUCGCUUUCAUGGGAUUGGGCUGCCUCUUUUCCGUCUGUUUCUGCGUAUCCUUAUUCUUUCCGCAACCCGUGAGAGAAUCAUCGAAGAAACUUGCUGAAGCUAACACGUCGAAAGUGUGAAGAAGAGAAACUUAGAAAUCAUUCAUGUACCAUGUACUUAGGAUUAUAAAAUUUAGAUUAAAUGUAUAGCUGCUUAAAACAAAGCUCU